UAUUUUUCAGGUAUUCAAACUGAAGAAGCUAUUCCUUUGCUUUCCAGGGUCAGAUCAUCUCUAGGAGCAGUGGGGUCAUCUCUUAAGAAGGCCAGAACCUGCCCUUUUGACUCUCUGAGCAGCACCAUGGCGGUUGGCAAGAACAAGCGCCUUACGAAAGGCGGCAAAAAGGGAGCCAAGAAGAAAGUGGUUGAUCCAUUUUCUAAGAAAGAUUGGUAUGAUGCGAAAGCACCCGCUAUGCUCAAUGUAAGAAAUAUUGGAAAGACGCUAGUCACCAGGACCCAAGGAACCAAAAUUGCAUCUGAUGGCCUCAAGGGUCGAGUGUUUGAAGUUAGUCUUGCUGAUUUGCAGAACGAUGAAGUUGCAUUUAGGAAAUUCAAGCUGGUUACUGAAGAUGUUCAGGGCAAAAACUGCCUGACUAACUUCCAUGGCAUGGAUCUUACCCGUGACAAAAUGUGUUCCAUGGUCAAAAAAUGGCAGCUUAAAUCAUUACUGAAGCUCAUGUUGAUGUCAAGACUACUGAUGGUUACUUGCUUCGUCUGUUCUGUGUUGGUUUUACUAAAAAACGCAACAAUCGGAUACGGAAGACCUCCUAUGCUCAGCACCAACAGGUCCGCCAAAUCCGGAAGAAGUUGAUGGAAAUCAUGACCCGAGAGGUGCAGAUAAAUGACUUGAAAGAAGUGGUCAGUAAAUUGAUUCCAGACAGCAUUGGGAAAGACAUAGAAAAGGCUUGCCACUCUAUUUAUGCUUUCCAUGAUGUCUUCGUUAGAAAAGUAAAAAUGCUGAAGAAGCCCAAGUUUGAAUUGGGAAAACUCAUGGAGCUUCAUGGUGAAGGCAGUAGUUCUGGAAAAGCCACUGGGGAUGAGAUAGGUGCUAAAGUUGAACGAGCUGAUGGAUAUGAACCACCAGUCCAAGAAUCUGUUUAAAGUUCAGACUUAUAAUAGUGGCAAAUAAAAUGUGUGGCAAAUAAAAUGUCUUAUUUGUGGCCAGGCGUGGUGGCUCAUGCCUGUAAUCCUAGCACUUUGGGAGGCUGAGGUGGGUGGAUCACCUGAGGUCGAGGUUCAGAACCAGCCUGGUUAUCAUGGUGAAAGCCCAUCUUUAUUUUAAAAAAUAAAGUAAAAUAAAAAAAUUAAAAAAAAAAGAAGGCCAGAACCUUCACAAUCUGCAAUACUUUAUAUUUUAUAAUAUUAUCCCCUUAUUAUCUUUGUAAUGGUUUUAUGAGAUGUAUAAUUUGCCAAUAUUUCUCCCAAGCUGUAACUUGUCUUUUCACCUUCACCUUCACAUGAGAUUUAUAUAUAUGUAUUUUUUUCUUGUUUUUUUUUUCUUUUUCACAUGAGAUUUUAUAGAAUGAAAGUUUUAAAUUUUGAUGAGGAACAACUGAUCAAGUUUUCCUUUUACAGAUCACGCUUUUGGUGUCAAGUUUAAGAACUCUGCCCAUCUCACCCAGGCGCAGUGGCUUACACCUGUAAUCCCAGCACUUUGGGAGGCUGAGGCUGGCGGAUCACUUGAGGUCAGAAGUUGGAGACCAGCCUGGCCAACAUGGUGAAACCCCAUCUCUACCAAAAAUACAAAAAUUAGGACUGGUGAUGCAGGCCUGUAGUCCCAGCUAGCAUGCCAAACUCACUCAAAGCCACUGUAAAGUGCGUUUACCCUGUCUGUGAAAAGAGUCGAACUCUGUAAAAUAUUUGAAGAGAUUUAUUCAACAGAGGCUGAGGUGGGAGAAUCACUUGAACCCAGGAAGUGGAGGUUGCGGUGAGCCGAGAUCUCGCCACUGCACUCCAGCCUGGGUGACAAUAGCGAAACUCCGUCUGAAAAAAAACAAAAGACCUCUGCCCAUCUCUAGAUUUCAAAGACUUUUUUUCUGUCUUUUUCCUACAAGUUACACAGUUUUACAUUUUGCAUUAACUUUUGUGUAAUAUGUGACUUGAGUUUCAGGCUCCGUUUUUCCCUUUGGAUCUCCACUUGCUCCAGCACCAUUUGUUGAAAAGACUAUCCUUCUCCAUUCAAGUGCUUUUGUAACUUUCUCAAAAUAAACUGCCCAUAUGUGGGUCUUCUUCUGAGUUUUCUAUUCUGUUUCAUUGAUUUAUGU
Callithrix jacchus (white-tufted-ear marmoset) is the source of this 2089-nucleotide non-coding RNA. The record is from RefSeq and is a predicted model, not a curated record. Lineage: Eukaryota; Metazoa; Chordata; Mammalia; Primates; Cebidae.